UACGGGGGGAGCAAGCGUUGUUCGGAAUUACUGGGCGUAAAGGGCGCGUAGGCGGCCUGCUAAGUCGAACGUGAAAUCCCCGGGCUCAACCCGGGAACUGCGUCCGAUACUGGCAGGCUUGAAUCCGGGAGAGGGAUGUGGAAUUCCAGGUGUAGCGGUGAAAUGCGUAGAUAUCUGGAGGAACACCGGUGGCGAAGGCGGCAUCCUGGACCGGUAUUGACGCUGAUGCGCGAAAGCCAGGGGAGCAAACGGG
This 253-nucleotide ribosomal RNA is filed under the name uncultured bacterium. Its description in RNAcentral is "partial 16S ribosomal RNA". It matches the Rfam family "Bacterial small subunit ribosomal RNA", at positions 524 to 776 of the family's 1533-position model. The record is from RNAcentral.